AUAGGGGACACCGAGUGCCAGCAUCAUAUGCUGGCUGUCCGGAUGUGUAAAAUACAUCCGUUAGCAAGGGCCGGGCAAGACCGGUGCCAGCCGCCGCGGUAACACCGGCGGCCCGAGUGGUGAUCGUGAUUAUUGGGUCUAAAGGGUCCGUAGCCGGUUUGGUCAGUCCUCCGGGAAAUCUGAUAGCUCAACUAUUAGGCUUUCGGGGGAUACUGCCAGACUUGGAACCGGGAGAGGUAAGAGGUACUACAGGGGUAGGAGUGAAAUCUUGUAAUCCCUGUGGGACCACCUGUGGCGAAGGCGUCUUACCAGAACGGGUUCGACGGUGAGGGACGAAAGCUGGGGGCACGAACCGGAUUAGAUACCCGGGUAGUCCCAGCCGUAAACGAUGCUCGCUAGGUGUCAGGCAUGGCGCGACCGUGUCUGGUGCCGCAGGGAAGCCGUGAAGCGAGCCACCUGGGAAGUACGGCCGCAAGGCUGAAACUUAAAGGAAUUGGCGGGGGAGCACAACAACGGGUGGAGCCUGCGGUUUAAUUGGACUCAACGCCGGACAACUCACCGGGGGCGACAGCAAUAUGUAGGCCAAGCUGAAGACUUUGCCUGAAUCGCUGAGAGGAGGUGCAUGGCCGUCGCCAGUUCGUACUGUGAAGCAUCCUGUUAAGUCAGGCAACGAGCGAGACCCGUGCCCACUGUUACCAGCAUGUCCUCCGGGACGAUGGGUACUCUGUGGGGACCGCCGAUGUUAAAUCGGAGGAAGGUGCGGGCCACGGUAGGUCAGUAUGCCC
This 785-nucleotide ribosomal RNA is filed under the name uncultured archaeon. Its description in RNAcentral is "bacterial SSU rRNA". It matches the Rfam family "Archaeal small subunit ribosomal RNA", at positions 371 to 1156 of the family's 1478-position model. The record is from RNAcentral.